AGAGUUUGAUCCUGGCUCAGAGCGAACGCUGGCGGCAGGCUUAACACAUGCAAGUCGAGCGGGCGUAGCAAUACGUCAGCGGCAGACGGGUGAGUAACGCGUGGGAACAUACCUUUUGGUUCGGAACAACACAGGGAAACUUGUGCUAAUACCGGAUAAGCCCUUACGGGGAAAGAUUUAUCGCCGAAAGAUUGGCCCGCGUCUGAUUAGCUAGUUGGUGAGGUAACGGCUCACCAAGGCGACGAUCAGUAGCUGGUCUGAGAGGAUGAUCAGCCACAUUGGGACUGAGACACGGCCCAAACUCCUACGGGAGGCAGCAGUGGGGAAUAUUGGACAAUGGGCGCAAGCCUGAUCCAGCCAUGCCGCGUGAGUGAUGAAGGCCCUAGGGUUGUAAAGCUCUUUUGUGCGGGAAGAUAAUGACGGUACCGCAAGAAUAAGCCCCGGCUAACUUCGUGCCAGCAGCCGCGGUAAUACGAAGGGGGCUAGCGUUGCUCGGAAUCACUGGGCGUAAAGGGUGCGUAGGCGGGUCUUUAAGUCAGGGGUGAAAUCCUGGAGCUCAACUCCAGAACUGCCUUUGAUACUGAAGAUCUUGAGUUCGGGAGAGGUGAGUGGAACUGCGAGUGUAGAGGUGAAAUUCGUAGAUAUUCGCAAGAACACCAGUGGCGAAGGCGGCUCACUGGCCCGAUACUGACGCUGAGGCACGAAAGCGUGGGGAGCAAACAGGAUUAGAUACCCUGGUAGUCC
This 744-nucleotide ribosomal RNA is filed under the name uncultured bacterium. Its description in RNAcentral is "bacterial SSU rRNA". It matches the Rfam family "Bacterial small subunit ribosomal RNA", at positions 8 to 796 of the family's 1533-position model. The record is from RNAcentral.